RNAcentral lists this long non-coding RNA (535 nucleotides) under Brachypodium distachyon (stiff brome). RNAcentral's name for it is "long non-coding RNA (BDIS_LNC000006)". Lineage: Eukaryota; Viridiplantae; Streptophyta; Magnoliopsida; Poales; Poaceae. The record is from RNAcentral.
GGGCUAGGGUUUUGCUGGCCUAGGGUUAGCAGGAGGGGCGCGGAGCAGCUUAUAAAGGCGGCAUGGAGGCGUGGCUGUCGCUGUCGAAGAGGACGUGGCUGGGGGGCUCACCGGUCGGGAGGGAGAAAAGGUGAGGAAGACGGGCGUGUGAGAGGUGGCGUAUUUCGUAGAAUGCGUUUUCGCUGCAGGGAAACGGCACGCGGGCGCUAUGCGAAGGAAGCUAGGCCAAGGGUGCGGGCGGGCCGUGCGCGCGAGGAGAAAGGCCGGGCCGCGCUGCGGGGCUGCGCGGCACGCGGGGAAGGCGGGCCGAGGCGGCGGGGCCGGCUCGGGCCAAGUGAGCAGGUAAGGUUUUGUUUUUCUUUUUCCCUUUUCUAUUUUCUGUUUUUGCAAAUGCUUUUGGACUCAAAUUUCAAAUACCAUUUUGAAAAGCUGAGAAGUAGUAGAAUUCAAAUAUGGUACUAGUAUUUGGAAAUAUUCAAAUGGGGUUUAAGGUUUAAAAUAAAACCCAUUUGAAUCUCAUUUGAAAAAUAUAGGG